AACGCGAAGAACCUUACCAGGCCUUGACAUCCUGCGAACUUUCUAGAGAUAGAUUGGUGCCUUCGGGAACGCAGUGACAGGUGCUGCAUGGCUGUCGUCAGCUCGUGUCGUGAGAUGUUCGGUUAAGUCCGGCAACGAGCGCAACCCACAUCCUUAGUUGCCAUCAUUCAGUUGGGCACUCUAGGGAAACUGCCCGUGAUAAGCGGGAGGAAGGUGUGGAUGACGUCAAGUCCUCAUGACCCUUACGGGUUGGGCUACACACGUGCUACAAUGGUAGUGACAAUGGGUUAAUCCCAAAAAGCUAUCUCAGUUCGGAUUGGGGUCUGCAACUCGACCCCAUGAAGUCGGAAUCGCUAGUAAUCGCGUAACAGCAUGACGCGGUGAAUACGUUCCCGGGGUCUGUACACACCG
RNAcentral lists this ribosomal RNA (411 nucleotides) under uncultured bacterium. RNAcentral's name for it is "bacterial SSU rRNA". It matches the Rfam family "Bacterial small subunit ribosomal RNA", at positions 958 to 1392 of the family's 1533-position model. The record is from RNAcentral.